UACGUAGGUGGCAAGCGUUGUCCGGAUUUAUUGGGUUUAAAGGGUGCGUAGGCGGUCAUAUAAGUCUGCGGUGAAAUCCGGCAGCUCAACUGUCGAUGUGCCAUUGAUACUGUAUGACUUGAGUACUGAUGAGGUAGGCGGAAUUGACGGUGUAGCGGUGAAAUGCUUAGAUAUCAUGAAGAACACCGAUAGCGAAGGCAGCUUACUAAGCAGUAACUGACGCUGAGGCACGAAAGUGUGGGGAUCGAACAGG
Molecule: ribosomal RNA, 253 nt
Filed under: uncultured bacterium
Lineage: Bacteria
Description: partial 16S ribosomal RNA
Rfam family: Bacterial small subunit ribosomal RNA
Source: RNAcentral